GUGAAUCUCCGGGCUCACUCGGGAACUGCCUUUGAUACUGUCUGGCUUGAAUCUCGUAGAGGUGAGUGGAAUUUCUCGUGUAGCGGUGAAAUGCUUAGAUAUCUGGAGGAACACCGAUGGCGAAGGCGGCUCCCUGGACAAAUAUUGACGCUGAGGCGCGAAAGCGUGGGGAGCAAACAGGAUUAGAUACCCUGGUAGUCCACGCCCUAAACGAUGGAUACUCGACGUUUGCGAUAUUGAGGAUGUGUCUGAGCAAAUAAAUUAAUUAUCCCACCUGCGGGGGAGGACCGCCAGGUUGAAACUCCUAGGAAGUGUUGGCGG
RNAcentral lists this ribosomal RNA (321 nucleotides) under uncultured bacterium. RNAcentral's name for it is "bacterial SSU rRNA". It matches the Rfam family "Bacterial small subunit ribosomal RNA", at positions 594 to 919 of the family's 1533-position model. The record is from RNAcentral.